RNAcentral lists this unclassified non-coding RNA (395 nucleotides) under soil metagenome. RNAcentral's name for it is "partial contains 5.8S ribosomal RNA, internal transcribed spacer 2, and large subunit ribosomal RNA". The stretch from base 1 to 121 matches the Rfam family "5.8S ribosomal RNA", at positions 35 to 154 of the family's 154-position model. The record is from RNAcentral.
GAUGAAGACGUAGCGAAAUGCGAUACUUGGUGUGAAUUGCAGAAUCCCGUGAACCAUCGAGUCUUUGAACGCAAGUUGCGCCCGAAGCCAUUAGGCCGAGGGCACGCCUGCCUGGGUGUCACACACCGUUACCCUCGCGCCAACGUCCAUCGUUGGCCGCGGCGCGGGGCGUGCGCUGACCUCCCGCGAGCGGGGUCUCGUGGUUGGUUGAAAAUCGAGUUCGCGGUCGAGGGUGCCGUGAUGAAAUGGUGGAUGGGCGACGCCCGAGGCCAAUCACGCGCGACUCUGUCCGGGUCGGACUCCUGGACCCCUUCGGCGUCUCCGGACGCUCUUUGGCGAGACCUCAGGUCAGGCGGGGCUACCCGCUGAGUUUAAGCAUAUCAAUAAGCGGAGGA